GAUGAACGCUGGCGGCGUGCCUAAUACAUGCAAGUCGAGCGAACGGACGAGAAGCUUGCUUCUCUGAUGUUAGCGGCGGACGGGUGAGUAACACGUGGAUAACCUACCUAUAAGACUGGGAUAACUUCGGGAAACCGGAGCUAAUACCGGAUGAUAUUUUGAACCGCAUGGUUCAAAAGUGAAAGACGGUCUUGCUGUCACUUAUAGAUGGAUCCGCGCUGCAUUAGCUAGUUGGUAAGGUAACGGCUUACCAAGGCAACUAUGCAUAGCCGACCUGAGAGGGUGAUCGGCCACACUGGAACUGAGACACGGUCCAGACUCCUACGGGAGGCAGCAGUAGGGAAUCUUCCGCAAUGGGCGAAAGCCUGACGGAGCAACGCCGCGUGAGUGAUGAAGGUCUUCGGAUCGUAAAACUCUGUUAUUAGGGAAGAACAUAUGUGUAAGUAACUGUGCACAUCUUGACGGUACCUAAUCAGAAAGCCACGGCUAACUACGUG
RNAcentral lists this ribosomal RNA (497 nucleotides) under uncultured bacterium. Its description in RNAcentral is "partial 16S ribosomal RNA". It matches the Rfam family "Bacterial small subunit ribosomal RNA", at positions 28 to 507 of the family's 1533-position model. The record is from RNAcentral.